GACGAACGCUGGCGGCGUGCUUAACACAUGCAAGUCGAACGGAAAGGCCCUGCUUUUUUGGGGUUCUCGAGUGGCGAACGGGUGAGUAACACGUGAGUAACCUGCCCUUUACUUUGGGAUAACUUCAGGAAACUGGGGCUAAUACCUGAUAGGAGCUCCUGCUGCAUGGUGGGGUUUGGAAAGUUUCGGCGGUUGGGGAUGGACUCGCGGCUUAUGAGCUUGUUGGUGGGGUAGUGGCUUACCCAGGGUUUGACGGGUAGCCGGCCUGAGAGGGUGACCGGCCACAUUGGGACUGAGAGACGGCGCAGACUGCUACGGGAGGCAGCAGGGGGGAAUAUUGCACAAUGGGCGGAAGCGUGAUGCAGAAACGCCGCGUGCGGGAUGACGGCCUUCGGGUUGUAAACCGCUUUCGCCUGUGACGAAGCGUGAGUGACGGUAAUGGGUAAAGAAGCACCGGCUAACUACGUG
RNAcentral lists this ribosomal RNA (468 nucleotides) under uncultured bacterium. RNAcentral's name for it is "partial 16S ribosomal RNA". It matches the Rfam family "Bacterial small subunit ribosomal RNA", at positions 28 to 507 of the family's 1533-position model. The record is from RNAcentral.